CAUUUUCUCGUUCAUCCUACAACUUAAAACUAAUCAACAAUAACAAAGACAGCUAGUAAGUUAUCAGUAAAAUUCCAAGAUAACUAAGACGCAGCAAAAUAGUAACAAGAGCCAAGAGAGGAUUAUAUAUAUAUAUAUAUAUAUAUAUAUAUAAAAGCAGUGCUUAGUGGUUAGCCUCAAGACUUUUGGGAAAUUUGAUUCUGUUUGGGUAGUGGUUGAAAGGUUUACUAGACCAGUCCACUUUAUCUCGGUCAGAGUGGAUUAGAAUGCUGAACAAUUGACUAAGAUUUAUGUAAAGGAGAUACUAAAGUUUCAUGGUGUGCCCCUUUCCAUCAUCUCAUAUCGUGGAACCCUUUUCACUUCUAUGUUUUGGAGGAAGUUGCAUGUUAAAUUGGUCACGCAGCUCACAUUUAGUACAACCUUCCAUCCCCAGACGGAUGGACAAUCAGAAAGGACUAUACAAGUGUUUUGAAAACGUGUUGAGUAAUUGACUUUGGAGGGCAUUGGGAUAAGUUCCUACCAUUAUGUGAGUUCUCUUAUAAUAAUAGUUAUCACUAGAGCAUUGAUAUCACAUCAUUUGAAGCGUUAUAUGGGAGAGGAUGUAGAUAACCCAUAUGUUGGUUUGAAUCCGGAGAUGUAAAAUCUUUGGGGGAUUGACUUAGUGAACGACGCUCAAGAUAAGGUGAGGAGCAUUCAAGCUAAAUUUCUAACCACGUAGAGUAGACAAAAGAAGUAUGCGGAUCACAAAGUGAGAGACACGGAAUUCCAGACUGGCGAGAAUGUUCUUCUCAAGGUAUAACCAUGAAAGGGGUGAUGAGACUUGUCUAGAGGGGUAAGUUGAGUCCUCGAUAUAUUGGUCCCUUUGAGAUUCUUGAACGUGUUGGAACGGUGGCGUAUAGAUUGACGCUACCUUCAAACUUGUCCGAUGUACAUUCCGUAUUUCAUGUGUCUAUGUUGAAGAGCUAUCACGGUGAUGGAGAGUAUAUCAUUAAGUGGGACUCAAUAGUGCUACGCAAGGACCUCCAAUAUGAGGAGAAACCGAUUGCUAUUCUUGAUCGUGAUGUUUGAAAGUUGAGGACCAAAGAGAUUAAGUCUGUAAAAGGUCAAUGGAAGCAUCGUCCAGUUGAUGAAGCUACUUGGGAGACUGAAAAGGAUAUGCGAGACUAGUAUCCACAAUUGUUCGUCGAAUCAGGAUUACUGUCACUGCAGCGACGCCGCUACAACAGGAUGGGUGUUGCUGUAGCAGGAUGGAGGAUUUUAAAAUCAUAAAUAAAACCCUUAGACGACUUUAUUUUGUACUUUUUGACUUUUUGAGUAAUGAGACGACCCUUGAGCUAUUCCAACUCAUUUUCCACCAUUCUUGAAACUAGAUGUAAUUUUUUCACUUCCUGAAUUCAUUUUUCGAUCCGUAUAUACUUUUAGAAUGGGUCAAUAUUAACGAGGAAGGAUUUCUUGAAGAGUCCUAUGGUGGAAUUAACCAUAAAUUGACUAGUUGGGGUCAUGGGUUUUGAACUAAGGUUCAUAGUUCGUUAACAUUUUGGGAAUUGAGUGUUUCUUUAUUGAAUCCUGUACAUGAAUUGUCAUUUAUAGACCACGAACAAGCGGAACGAAUCCGGAAAGGAAUGGAUCAAUUUGUCUAGGGUUUCAAGCUUGUUUUGAGGUAGGUGAUAGUUUUGAUUCUAUUAUUGUAUGAUAUACAUUUGCUUUGCUUCGUUAUGAUACUUGUAUGUGUAUACAUAACACAAUAUUGAUCAUAGAUGUUGAAAUGAGAAAUAUGAAUAUUUACACCAUGAAAUUAUGACUUGAA
This is a long non-coding RNA of Solanum pennellii, 1807 nucleotides long. RefSeq lists it as uncharacterized. Lineage: Eukaryota; Viridiplantae; Streptophyta; Magnoliopsida; Solanales; Solanaceae. The record is from RefSeq and is a predicted model, not a curated record. The transcript is spliced from 2 exons.